This 127-nucleotide small nuclear RNA is filed under the name Strigamia maritima. RNAcentral describes it as "U11 spliceosomal RNA". It matches the Rfam family "U11 spliceosomal RNA". The record is from Rfam by way of RNAcentral. Lineage: Eukaryota; Metazoa; Arthropoda; Chilopoda; Geophilomorpha; Linotaeniidae.
UAAAAGGGUAUUUGCUCUAUAGCACUCCGAGUUCUCCGGGGCUUGGUGCGGAAUCGAAAUCAAGAGAUUCCGGGUACAAAAUAUUUGGCAACGGAGGCAGCCGAGUGUUAUUUGCACGGGCGCCUCU